CCUACGGGAGGCAGCAGUGGGGAAUAUUGGACAAUGGGGGGAACCCUGAUCCAGCCAUGCCGCGUGUGUGAAGAAGGCCCUCGGGUUGUAAAGCACUUUCAGUGAGGAAGAACGCCUGGUGGUUAAUACCCAUCAGGAAAGACAUCACUCACAGAAGAAGCACCGGCUAACUCCGUGCCAGCAGCCGCGGUAAUACGGAGGGUGCGAGCGUUAAUCGGAAUUACUGGGCGUAAAGCGCGCGUAGGUGGCUUGAUAAGCCGGUUGUGAAAGCCCCGGGCUCAACCUGGGAACGGCAUCCGGAGCUGUCAAGCUAGAGUGCAGGAGAGGAAGGUAGAAUUCCCGGUGUAGCGGUGCAAUGCGUAGAGAGCGGGAGGAAUACCAGUGGCGAAGGCGGCCUUCUGGACUGACACUGACACUGAGGUGCGAAAGCGUGGGUAGCAAACAGGAUUAGAUACCCCGGUAGUC
Molecule: ribosomal RNA, 465 nt
Filed under: Vreelandella stevensii
Lineage: Bacteria; Pseudomonadati; Pseudomonadota; Gammaproteobacteria; Oceanospirillales; Halomonadaceae
Description: partial 16S ribosomal RNA
Rfam family: Bacterial small subunit ribosomal RNA
Source: RNAcentral